UACAAAGAGAAGCAAGACCGUGAGGUGGAGGCAAAACCCUAAAAAAUAGGUCUCAGUUCGGAUUGUAGGCUGCAACCCGCCUGCAUGAAGUUGGAAUUGCUAGUAAUCGCGGAUCAGCAUGCCGCGGUGAAUACGUUCCCGGGCCUUGUACACACCGCCCGUCACACCAUGGGAGCCGGUAAUACCCGAAGUCAGUAGCCUAACCGCAAGGAGGGCGCUGCCGAAGGUAGGAUUGGCGACUGGGGUGAAGUCGUAACAAGGUACC
Molecule: ribosomal RNA, 265 nt
Filed under: uncultured bacterium
Lineage: Bacteria
Description: partial 16S ribosomal RNA
Rfam family: Bacterial small subunit ribosomal RNA
Source: RNAcentral